RNAcentral lists this ribosomal RNA (382 nucleotides) under Anelosimus torfi. RNAcentral's name for it is "partial 16S ribosomal RNA". The record is from RNAcentral. Lineage: Eukaryota; Metazoa; Arthropoda; Arachnida; Araneae; Theridiidae.
UUUGUUUUUUAAUUAAAAACUAGAAUGAAAGAUUUAACAUUUUAAUUUCUUUAUUAAAUUUUUAAUAUAAAUUUAUAUUAAAUAUAAAAAUAUAUUUAUAAUAAAAAAAGACGACAAGACCCUAUUAAAUUUUACUUAAUGUUUAGCUGGGGCAGCUUUUUAAAUAAAAUUUUAAAUAUAAAUAUUUACAUCUAUAUAUAUAAAUAUAUUUAAAAUCUAAUACAAUUAAAUUUUAACUAAUUACUAUAGGGAUAACAGCGUUAUAUUUUUUUCAAGUUCAUAUUUAAAAAAAUUAUUGCGACCUCGAUGUUGAAUUAUAUUUCUUUAUUAAUGCAAUAAUUAUAAAAGUAAGUCUGUUCGACUUUUAAAAUAUUACAUGAUC